RNAcentral lists this ribosomal RNA (253 nucleotides) under uncultured bacterium. Its description in RNAcentral is "partial 16S ribosomal RNA". It matches the Rfam family "Bacterial small subunit ribosomal RNA", at positions 524 to 776 of the family's 1533-position model. The record is from RNAcentral.
UACGAAGGGGGCUAGCGUUGCUCGGAAUCACUGGGCGUAAAGGGUGCGUAGGCGGGUCUUUAAGUCAGAGGUGAAAGCCUGGAGCUCAACUCCAGAACUGCCUUUGAUACUGAAGAUCUUGAGUUCGGGAGAGGUGAGUGGAACUGCGAGUGUAGAGGUGAAAUUCGUAGAUAUUCGCAAGAACACCAGUGGCGAAGGCGGCUCACUGGCCCGAUACUGACGCUGAGGCACGAAAGCGUGGGGAGCAAACAGG